Molecule: long non-coding RNA, 569 nt
Filed under: Aedes aegypti (yellow fever mosquito)
Lineage: Eukaryota; Metazoa; Arthropoda; Insecta; Diptera; Culicidae
Description: lncRNA AAEL025978
Source: RNAcentral
GAUUAAAUUUAAUACUUUACCAUGCUUAUCCACGAUUUAUUUUUUGUUGUGCUUAUGAAGUGAAUUUUGCUAAUCUUGGGACUUGUUUAAUAUAUAUUUUCAUUUGUUCGGUACGGUAUCAACACAACAUCGCGUUUUCCAGCAUUCUUACAAAUAAUACGCGUUUUAGUUAUUUUUCAAUACGAGUGCUUUUUCACGCUGUUUCUCGAAUGAAUCUCGGAAAGGAAAACGGAUACGUGGGCAAAAUGCUUGAAAUAGAUGCCUAGCCGUUUAUUACCAGCACUACCAGUCUGCUUCCAGUUCCGCCAUUGUGUUGUGUUCAGCUAUCAUCAGAGACAUUUGGCCCAGGAAAGUUGCCACAGAAAGCCAUUAAAAGCUCAGCAUUUGAGAGUAAAAUGAGAAACCGAUAAUUACGAAUAUGAUGAUUAUUUUAUGGGAGAGCUCCAUUCCGGUCUUCGCGAGCAAGUCGGCAACAGCUGCGACAAGUGUGGGAAAUUGAUUGUGACCAAAGUUAAAAAGAUUGGAAGAUACACCAAGAUAUGAUUCAAAUACAAAGAAAUACAUGCGCU